GCGAGAGUAGCUCAAUUGGUAGAGCGUCAGCCUUCCAAGCUGAGGGUUGCGAGUUCGAUUCUCGUCUCUCGCUCAA
RNAcentral lists this transfer RNA (76 nucleotides) under Flavobacteriales bacterium. Its description in RNAcentral is "tRNA-Gly". It matches the Rfam family "tRNA". From Rfam's summary of the family: Transfer RNA (tRNA) molecules are approximately 80 nucleotides in length. Their secondary structure includes four short double-helical elements and three loops (D, anti-codon, and T loops). The record is from RNAcentral. Lineage: Bacteria; Pseudomonadati; Bacteroidota; Flavobacteriia; Flavobacteriales.